CCAUCCUUCACUGCCUCCUAAGGCAGCCCACUUCCUCUCUGCACACUCCCAAAGGAAGUCUUCCCAAGACUGAGCCCUGAAGAUCUAUGCUCAGCUACCGUUCACAGCUCCUUUCCUCUCCGUAUAGAACCAGCACGUGAGUCCCCGAUGACCUUCGACACCCUCUUACAAGCGCGCUCCUGCUUGUCAACCUCCCUCAAACAAUGGUCAGGGCCAUUUGCCUGUUUGUUCUCCAGUCAUUCCCUGCCCGUUCUUCUCUGUACCAUAGGGGAUGAGCCCUGCAAAUUCGUGUCCCAGGAGCUCCUGGUACUGGUUCCAACAAGGCGGAGCUAAAUGGGAGGCCCUGGUGAGAGACUGGAGGGGGAGAAAAAGGAGAAGGCAGGGGACUUCUCUCCACCUCCCCUGCUUUCAGGGGCGUCUCGGGCAAUGGCUGCAUUUCCUUCAUGAUUUAAGCCCCGACCUCCUAUGGGCCCUCCCACUGUGGUUCCAGGUCCUGUCAGGUGGCCCCUAGACCCAGGUCUGGGAACAUCCUCUCCUCUUUUGACCCCUCCAGCCCAAGGGUGGGUGGUGGCUUCCAGCUGCAGCUACACUCUGGGUGGCCUGCCCCUCUCCUGUUCCCCUGCAGCCCUUCUGGCCUUUGCACAGCCCCUCCCCACAUUCAGCCUCUCACUUCAACUACUUGGCCUGGGUUCUGUUUCCUCAAAAGACACUGGCUAACACAGCCUCCUCAUCUUAGGGGCUCAACCCACAUUAUAUACAACAUGUCCGCACCCCACAUAUUUUACAUGGGAAAAUACUACACGAGUUGAGUUGCGGUUGACUAGUCAACAAAAUGGUAGAUUUUGUAGCUGUUUAAUUUUAAUUUCAGAUAAAGUUUUCUUUUUUGCAUUGGGUAGCCAAUGGUUUUUUCCAGCCCUUGGAACAUUUUUGCAACCCUUAGAAAGCUCUUGGAAAAAACGCCUUUGAUGGUGGUGACUGAGGGGAACAAAGUGCCCCAAAGAGCAACUGCAAGGGCCGGAUGGGGCAGUAGCUCCCUCAGUGAGAGGGGACAGUACUGGGCAGUUGCUCUCUCAGUGAAGAGCCAAGAGGAAGAGGAGCCCAAAGACCAGCGCACUCCUCAUCGGUACCCUUUUGCCAGUGACUCUCCCCUUUCCCAUCCAACAAGGUGGAGUCUUUGUCCUUCAAGAGGCCCAGAGCUCAGGAGGAACCUGCUUCUAUGAGAUGGAUUUUCUCCACGGCCUGAAAGGCAAGAGGAUCAUAAAUGUGCCAAUGGAAUUCAGAUUUCCCAAGUUGUUCAACCACCACAAUAAAGCUAAAAGCAAAACUCCGCUGGAAGGGAGCGGAGACUUUAAUGCAGGAGGCUGCGCGGCAGUGAGAAGACGAAUCGGGCCUCUGACAGCCCCUCCUCUGCAAAUGGAUUUGGCUGCAGUGAGCUGGGCCCUUGCAGCACGGCAAGACUGAGCCCUGUGGCUGAGCUGGGUGGCUCACCCCUGGGAGGGCGUGGCCACACCCAGAAGAGAACACUGCUGAGCCCUGAGGGCAGCACCCAGCCACCAAGCACCAAGUUUUCUCAUAAGGCCCAUGGGCAGUUUAAACUCCAUCCUUGGGGCUGGCCCCAUGGCCAAGUGGUUAAGUUCGUGCGCUCCUGCUGCGGGUGGCCCAGGGUUUCGCCAGUUCGAAUCCUGGGCGCAGACAAGGCACCGCUUAUCAAGCCACGCUGAGGCAGCAUCCCACAUGCCAGAACUAGAAGGACCCACAACUAAAAAAAUACACAACUAUACGCUGGGGGGCUUUGGGGAGAAAAAGGAAAAAUAAAAUCUUAAAAAAAAAAAACAAAAAAACUCCAUCCUGGUCUUGCGACCAGUUCCAGAGUGGCUGGGACCCACGGUCCAUCUUGUAGGCAAGGUGAGGAGCUGGGCCCUGGCAGGUACAGAGGGAAGUGGCCAAUAUAGUGGUCACAGCUGGGCUUAGUGCGGAAUGCACGCCAGUCUGACUGGUCCCCCACUCACUCCUCCUCUGGCCCUUGGCUGGUGGCGUUGGGGAACUUGAUGCUGUGACACUCUCGUCCCCUCACCCCCGUUGUGGACAGCAGUGGGAAGGGAGAUGAAAGCCCCUUGGUUGGACAUGGACCAACUGGGGACUGUUGUGAAGAGAGAACUAAGACAACACAGUGUGUCACGUGAAGGAGGAAACAAGAAGAAGGGACAGAGGGACACGGAUCCAGCCUCUAGCCAUUUGAGGGACAUCUAGCAAGAAGGGUUUAUUGAACAGCUAUCAAGUGUCCACCACUGUAACUGGGACACCCCCUGGGGCUGCUGACUUCACUGAAUGUUCCAGAACACCUUGUAUUGACCUGAGAACAGCCUGGUCAAUGGAAGUGUCAUUGGAUCAUGUGCUUUUGUCUUAUGUAAUAGGGAGGAGCAGCUGCCCAGGGGUCGGGCGGGGUGAAGAGAAAGAUCAUGCCAGCAAGGCCGGGAGCCAGGCUGUAAGAGGUGCUUGAGGUGGAGCGGAAUGGGUGAACUAUGCUGGCUUCCAGCCCCUCACCCCUGCCAAGAUGCCCAGCACCCAUCAGGUGUGCCACUUCUGCUCACCGUCUGCCAUGAAUAAGUCUCCUGCCUCUGGGUUGGCCCCUGGAGUCUGUCUGUUCCCCUGUGGGCCCGGCCAGUCUGCUCCUGUCCUGUCCUCCCCUUUGGCACCUGGACCUGUCUCCUUAGAACCCAUCCAGUCACCUCUUCUGCCUGCGGCAUCCUCAGCAGGAAGCUGAGGCUCACAAGGUCCUCGAGAAAGGACACGAAGAGUUGUUAGCAUGGCAUUGAGGGCCAUAUGCUCUCUGUCCUCUCCCCAGAUUGAUAUCUGCCCUCCCCCAAGACAUCCUGAGGAAUACUUCCACGUUUGGGAAGAAAAAUGUUAUAACUGAUAACCAAGACACUUGAGAAUAUACAAAAUCAGCUUCACAAAUUCCAUUGUUUUUGUUCCUGUCUUGAAAAACUUUUGGAAAGAGACAGAGAGCCCACAGUCUGGAAAGAAG
Molecule: long non-coding RNA, 3028 nt
Organism: Equus caballus (horse)
Lineage: Eukaryota; Metazoa; Chordata; Mammalia; Perissodactyla; Equidae
Source: Ensembl